CAUGAGCCCACCUGAGCCAGGUGACCUCCAACUGACCACCAGGUGACCCACAUGACCCAAAUGACCAUGGACUGACCAUGACGUGACCCAAGUGACCCAACUGACCUCGAACUGACCACCAGGUGACUGAGAUCACCCAACUGACCAUGAGCCAAUCCCAAAUGACCCAAGUGACCAAGGUGACCACGAACUGACCCUAGCCCUACCCAGGUGACCCAAGUGACCAUGAACUGACCACCAGCUGAUCCAGAUGACCAUGAGUCAACCCCAAAUGACCAAGGUGACUCAGGUGGUCAAGGAGAUCAUGAACUGACCACCAGGUGAUCCAGAUAACCAUGAGCCAACCUCAAAUGACCAAGGUGACCAUGAACUGACCACGAGGUGACCCAAAUGACCAUGAACUGACCACCAGGUGACCCAACUGAUCCAACUGACCAUGAGCCAACCCCAGAUGACCAAAGUGACCAAGGUGACCACGAACUGACCCUGGCCCUACCCAGGUGACCCAACUGACCACGAACUGACCACCAGGAGAUGUAGAUGACCCAACUGAUCACAAACUGACCACUAGAUGACCCAAAUGACCACAAACUGACCACCAGGUGACCUAGAUGACCCAAAUGACCAUGAACUGAUCAUGAGGUGACCUAGAUGACCUAAAUGACCAUGAACUGACCACCAGGUGACCCAAAUGUCCACGAACUGACCACCAGGUGAUCCAAAUGACCAUGAACAGACCACUAGAUGACUCAAAUGACCAUGAACUGACCACCAGGAGAUGUAGAUGACCCAAACGACCACAAACUGACCACCAGGUGACCUAGAUGACCCAAAUGACCAUGAACUGACCAUGAGGUGACCUAGAUGACCUAAAUGACCACAAACUGACCACCAGGUGACCCAAAUGACCACAAACUGACCAUUAGGUGACC
Molecule: long non-coding RNA, 932 nt
Organism: Passer montanus (Eurasian tree sparrow)
Lineage: Eukaryota; Metazoa; Chordata; Aves; Passeriformes; Passeridae
Exons: 3
Source: RefSeq, a predicted model, not a curated record